This 106-nucleotide small nucleolar RNA is filed under the name Olea europaea subsp. europaea. Its description in RNAcentral is "Plant small nucleolar RNA R71". It matches the Rfam family "Plant small nucleolar RNA R71". From Rfam's summary of the family: R71 is a member of the C/D box family of snoRNAs containing the C (UGAUGA) and D (CUGA) box motifs. Multiple nearly identical copies of this snoRNA have been identified in Arabidopsis, and it is thought to function as a 2'-O-ribose methylation guide for 18S ribosomal RNA. The record is from Rfam by way of RNAcentral. Lineage: Eukaryota; Viridiplantae; Streptophyta; Magnoliopsida; Lamiales; Oleaceae.
AUAUUUAGAUUGGGGCACUUUUUGAAGUAAUCUUUGAAUCUUAUCCAUGCUUCUAGAUAACUCUCGAUGACUCUUUGCUUGAAAUUAUGGACUUCAUUUCUGAUUU